RNAcentral lists this ribosomal RNA (129 nucleotides) under uncultured bacterium. RNAcentral's name for it is "partial 16S ribosomal RNA". It matches the Rfam family "Bacterial small subunit ribosomal RNA", at positions 355 to 496 of the family's 1533-position model. The record is from RNAcentral.
UGGGGAAUAUUGCACAAUGGGCGGAAGCCUGAUGCAGCGACGCCGCGUGAGGGAUGAAGGCCUUCGGGUUGUAAACCUCUUUCGACAGGGACGAAGCGCAAGUGACGGUACCUGGAGAAGAAGCGCCGG